AUACGUAGGUGGCGAGCGUUGUCCGGAAUUACUGGGUGUAAAGGGCGUGUAGGCGGGAAUGCAAGUCAGAUGUGAAAUACCGAGGCUUAACUUCGGGGCUGCAUCUGAAACUGUGUUUCUUGAGUGUCGGAGAGGAAAGUGGAAUUCCUAGUGUAGCGGUGAAAUGCGUAGAUAUUAGGAGGAACACCAGUGGCGAAGGCGACUUUCUGGACGAUAACUGACGCUGAGGCGCGAAAGCGUGGGGAGCAAACAGGAUUAGAUACCCUGGUAGUCCACGCCGUAAACGAUGGAUACUAGGUGUAGGAGGUAUCGACCCCUCCUGUGCCGGCGUUAACACAAUAAGUAUCCCACCUGGGGAGUACGACCGCAAGGUUGAA
Molecule: ribosomal RNA, 377 nt
Filed under: uncultured bacterium
Lineage: Bacteria
Description: bacterial SSU rRNA
Rfam family: Bacterial small subunit ribosomal RNA
Source: RNAcentral